Non-coding RNA from Schistosoma rodhaini, 45 nucleotides. Lineage: Eukaryota; Metazoa; Platyhelminthes; Trematoda; Strigeidida; Schistosomatidae. The record is from Rfam.
AUCCAGCUGACGAGUCCCUAAUAGGACGAAACGCACAUCGUGAAU